Molecule: transfer RNA, 74 nt
Filed under: Thiorhodococcus minor
Lineage: Bacteria; Pseudomonadati; Pseudomonadota; Gammaproteobacteria; Chromatiales; Chromatiaceae
Rfam family: tRNA
About the family: Transfer RNA (tRNA) molecules are approximately 80 nucleotides in length. Their secondary structure includes four short double-helical elements and three loops (D, anti-codon, and T loops). Further hydrogen bonds mediate the characteristic L-shaped molecular structure. tRNAs have two regions of fundamental functional importance: the anti-codon, which is responsible for specific mRNA codon recognition, and the 3' end, to which the tRNAs corresponding amino acid is attached (by aminoacyl-tRNA synthetases). tRNAs cope with the degeneracy of the genetic code in two manners: having more than one tRNA (with a specific anti-codon) for a particular amino acid; and 'wobble' base-pairing, i.e. permitting non-standard base-pairing at the 3rd anti-codon position.
Source: Rfam by way of RNAcentral
GACAACGUAGCUCAAUCGGGUAGAGCAACUGGUUUUGGACCAGUGGGUAGCGGGUUCGAAUCCCGCCGUUGCCA